GAUGAACGCUAGCUACAGGCUUAACACAUGCAAGUCGAGGGGAAACGACAUCGCAAGCUUGCUUUUGAUGGGCGUCGACCGGCGCACGGGUGAGUAACGCGCAUCCAACCUGCCCAUCACUUGGGAAUAACCUUGCGAAAGUAAGACUAAUACCCAAUGAUAUCCCACGAAGGCAUCGGAAUGGGAUUAAAGAUUUAUCGGUGAUGGAUGGGGAUGCGUCUGAUUAGCUUGUUGGCGGGGUAACGGCCCACCAAGGCAACGAUCAGUAGGGGUUCUGAGAGGAAGGUCCCCCACAUUGGAACUGAGACACAGUCCAAAAUCCUACGGGAGGCAGCAGUGAGGAAUAUUGGUCAAUGGGCGAGAGCCUGAACCCGCCAAGUAGCGUGCAGGAAGACGGCGCUAUGGGUUGUAAACUGCUUUUAUAAGGGAAUAAAGUGGGUCACGUGUGACUUUUUGCAUGUACCUUAUGAAUAAGGACCGGCUAAUUCCGUG
This 492-nucleotide ribosomal RNA is filed under the name uncultured bacterium. Its description in RNAcentral is "partial 16S ribosomal RNA". It matches the Rfam family "Bacterial small subunit ribosomal RNA", at positions 28 to 507 of the family's 1533-position model. The record is from RNAcentral.